UACGAAGGGGGCUAGCGUUGCUCGGAAUUACUGGGCGUAAAGCGCACGUAGGCGGCUUGUUAAGUCAGGGGUGAAAUCCUGGAGCUCAACUCCAGAACUGCCUUUGAUACUGGCGAGCUUGAGUUCGGGAGAGGUGAGUGGAACUGCGAGUGUAGAGGUGAAAUUCGUAGAUAUUCGCAAGAACACCAGUGGCGAAGGCGGCUCACUGGCCCGAUACUGACGCUGAGGUGCGAAAGCGUGGGGAGCAAACGGG
RNAcentral lists this ribosomal RNA (253 nucleotides) under uncultured bacterium. RNAcentral describes it as "partial 16S ribosomal RNA". It matches the Rfam family "Bacterial small subunit ribosomal RNA", at positions 524 to 776 of the family's 1533-position model. The record is from RNAcentral.